AGCAUAGUGAAACACAACAAAGGAAUUUGUCAACAAAAAGAAAGGUAACCUACUGAAUGGGAGAAUACAUUUGCGAGAAGAUUUUGUCAUAACAGCCUGACCUGGAAGAUGUCCUAAAGCAAACCUCUAAAACGAGGAAUAGCUAGUGAUUCAAACUGAAUCCAGAGAACACUUCACAUAUUUUUCUCUGGGGGCCAGUUCUUUCCCACACAUCAUUCACGGUUGCAUUGAGUUGAGUCAACCACACCCCCCGUGCCCUCUGCAAUCCAGCGAGUGUCAGUGCUGACCGUGGGUGCUGUUAUUCCCCUGCUCAAUCAGCUAUACAUCCAUCUCCUCUUCCUUCUUCCCCCCUCCUCACUGUCAUCAAGAUAAGAAACUAUAAUCAAGGCGAUGAGAAGUUCUAAAGUUCCCACCACACCAUCUACUCAUCAGCCUGAAUCUGGGUUUAUUUUCUCUACUUUGCCUCCCAUUAUUAUGGAAAAAAUACCUAUGUGUAUAUCUAACAUCAGCUCUUCUGUUUGUGUCUUGGAACCCAUGACUCCAGCAAUUCUCUUCUUUCUACCCCUUGACUCAAAUUUUCUUCCUUUUUUUUAACUUAGAUCAUUCCCAUCACUGCACCAAAUUCUAUACUAUCCUCCAUAUUAAAAACUAAAUGGGGACUUUUCCUGGUCAUCCAGUGGUUAAGCCUCCACACUUCCAAU
Odocoileus virginianus texanus is the source of this 701-nucleotide non-coding RNA. The record is from RefSeq and is a predicted model, not a curated record. Lineage: Eukaryota; Metazoa; Chordata; Mammalia; Artiodactyla; Cervidae.